UACGAAGGGGGCUAGCGUUGUUCGGAAUCACUGGGCGUAAAGCGCACGCAGGCGGAUCGUUAAGUCAGGGGUGAAAUCCCGAGGCUCAACCUCGGAACUGCCUUUGAUACUGGCGAUCUUUGAGUCCGGGAGAGGUGAGUGGAACUCCGAGUGUAGAGGUGAAAAUUCGUAGAUAUUCGGAAGAACACCAGUGGCGAAGGCGGCUCACUGGCCCGGUACUGACGCUCAGGUGCGAAAGCGUGGGGAGCAAACAGG
Molecule: ribosomal RNA, 255 nt
Filed under: uncultured bacterium
Lineage: Bacteria
Description: partial 16S ribosomal RNA
Rfam family: Bacterial small subunit ribosomal RNA
Source: RNAcentral